Molecule: unclassified non-coding RNA, 168 nt
Filed under: Kroppenstedtia eburnea
Lineage: Bacteria; Bacillati; Bacillota; Bacilli; Caryophanales; Thermoactinomycetaceae
Source: RNAcentral
UCCACGGCGACGUGGAAUCUGAAGGAAGCCGGCGGCAAACCUCUGACAGGAACCUCAUCAGGCGGUCCCUGCUUGGAUGAGUCUGCAUCACAAGACAAAGUCCUUGCUGCCAACUUCUCCAAUACCUGAUUGCGGAUUUGAUCUUCCUUCGGCGGGAUCUCCACAUAC